Molecule: ribosomal RNA, 497 nt
Filed under: uncultured bacterium
Lineage: Bacteria
Description: partial 16S ribosomal RNA
Rfam family: Bacterial small subunit ribosomal RNA
Source: RNAcentral
GAUGAACGCUGGCGGCGUGCCUAAUACAUACAAGUCGAGCGAACAGAUAAGGAGCUUGCUCCUUUGACGUUAGCGGCGGACGGGUGAGUAACACGUGGGUAACCUACCUAUAAGACUGGGAUAACUUCGGGAAACCGGAGCUAAUACCGGAUAAUAUUUCGAACCGCAUGGUUCGAUAGUGAAAGAUGGUUUUGCUAUCACUUAUAGAUGGACCCGCGCCGUAUUAGCUAGUUGGUAAGGUAACGGCUUACCAAGGCGACGAUACGUAGCCGACCUGAGAGGGUGAUCGGCCACACUGGAACUGAGACACGGUCCAGACUCCUACGGGAGGCAGCAGUAGGGAAUCUUCCGCAAUGGGCGAAAGCCUGACGGAGCAACGCCGCGUGAGUGAUGAAGGUCUUCGGAUCGUAAAACUCUGUUAUUAGGGAAGAACAUACGUGUAAGUAACUGUGCACGUCUUGACGGUACCUAAUCAGAAAGCCACGGCUAACUACGUG